UCUCCCCCUCGCUCCCACACGCAUCCAGUUCCUUUAUUUUCUUUCACUUCUCUCUUAGAUAUCAGCAGUGGCUGCAGUCUGUGUUACUCGGGUGUUCCUUCCUCCGUGUUUUUAUCUCAGGCUGCUUUCCCUGGAAAUAGACAGUGCACUCAGUCGGGAACCCAUCCACCAAUGGACAGAAUGCAACUGCAGACUUGUCACCAGACCCUUGAAGGUUCCAUCUGUAAGCAGCUUACAAGAGCAGCCCCUCUAUUUGAACAUGACUUGCUACGACUGGUUUAGUGAGUUUUAAGACAGCUGACAAAUCUGCUGUAUGAACUGCAAACUCUACCACAUGAGAGGACUACAGUGGUUCAAGAAGAGAGCUCACCACCGUCUUCUCAAGGACACUGGAAUGGGCAACAAAUAGCCAGUGGCACUCAGAUUCUGUGAAUGCAUUUUAAGAAGUAAAUGUCGCCAACUUGAAAUGGACAUAUUUCUGGAUGUUUCUUCAUAGCAUUCAACUACCCAGCAUUCCUGUCAGCGGACAACUGACACAGCUGCCCUACAAUUUCACUUACCAAUUGGAAAGCAAUCACAUUCUUCAAUGUGCAGUUGAAUGAAUCUUGACUGUUACUGCAACAGCUUCUUUUAUCCCCAUUAUGCAUUUUUUUCUAAUUAAAUCAACUAAACUCUUCAAAAGGAAAUAAAUAGCAUCAUUUUUUUUGCACCUAUAAUUCCUUUCUUUGGCUGAUGAUAAGUAUCAAGCAACUAAUGUUUAAUUCCAGAAUUUUCUAGGGUAAUCCUAGACAGUUGGUAAUCCUAACCUCACACCACUACAUCACUCCAUGUCAAGCAGGCUGACAUUUGUCCACUUGAAACGCAUCACAUUUGGAGAUGGGU
This is a long non-coding RNA of Stegostoma tigrinum, 882 nucleotides long. RefSeq lists it as uncharacterized. The transcript is spliced from 4 exons. The record is from RefSeq and is a predicted model, not a curated record. NCBI's taxonomy places the organism in Eukaryota, Metazoa, Chordata, Chondrichthyes, Orectolobiformes, Stegostomatidae.